GUCGAGAAUCAUUCACAAUGGGGGAAACCCUGAUGGUGUGACGCCGCGUGGAGGAUGAAGGUCUUCGGAUUGUAAACUCCUGUCAUGUGGGAGUAAAGCCGGGUGUUAAAUGCAUGCCGGUCUGAGAGUACCACAAGAGGAAGGGACGGCUAACUCUGUGCCAGCAGCCGCGGUAAUACAGAGGUCCCAAGCGUUGUUCGGAAUCACUGGGCGUAAAGGGUGCGUAGGCGGCGCGGAAAGUCAGGGGUGAAAUCCCGGAGCUCAACUCCGGAACUGCCUUUGAUACUCCCGCGCUUGAGAACUGGAGGGGAGACCGGAAUUCACGGUGGAGCAGUGAAAUGCGUGGAUAUCGUGAGGAACACUAGUGGCGAAGGCGGGUCUCUGGACAGUAUCUGACGCUGAGGCACGAAGGCCAGGGGAGCGAACGGGAUUAGAAACCCUAGUAGUCC
RNAcentral lists this ribosomal RNA (449 nucleotides) under uncultured bacterium. RNAcentral's name for it is "partial 16S ribosomal RNA". It matches the Rfam family "Bacterial small subunit ribosomal RNA", at positions 354 to 796 of the family's 1533-position model. The record is from RNAcentral.